Molecule: ribosomal RNA, 253 nt
Filed under: uncultured bacterium
Lineage: Bacteria
Description: partial 16S ribosomal RNA
Rfam family: Bacterial small subunit ribosomal RNA
Source: RNAcentral
UACGGGGGGGGUAAGCGUUGUUCGGAAUUACUGGGCGUAAAGGGCUCGUAGGCGGCCAACUAAGUCGGACGUGAAAUCCCUCAGCUUAACUGGGGAACUGCGUCCGAUACUGGAUGGCUUGGAUUUGGGAGAGGGAUGCGGAAUUCCAGGUGUAGCGGUGAAAUGCGUAGAUAUCUGGAGGAACACCGGUGGCGAAGGCGGAUCUCUGGGCCAUUACUGACGCUGAGGAGCGAAAGCGUGGGGAGCAAACAGG